GAUGAACGCUGGCGGCGUGCAUAACACAUUCAAGUCGAACGGAGUUGUUGGAAUUAAUCCUUCGGGAAGCGUGAAGACAACUUAGUGGCGGACGGGUGAGUAACGCGUGAGCAACCUGCCUCUGUAUAUGGGAUAACGUUUGGAAACGGACGCUAAUACCGUAUGAAGCAUAGACACCGCAUGAUGACUAUGCCAAAGAUUUUAUUGUACAGAGAUGGGCUCGCGUCUGAUUAGGUAGUUGGUGGGGUAACGGCCCACCAAGCCGACGAUCAGUAGCCGGACUGAGAGGUUGAACGGCCACAUUGGAACUGAGAUACGGUCCAG
This 324-nucleotide ribosomal RNA is filed under the name uncultured bacterium. Its description in RNAcentral is "bacterial SSU rRNA". It matches the Rfam family "Bacterial small subunit ribosomal RNA", at positions 28 to 334 of the family's 1533-position model. The record is from RNAcentral.